UGGGUCAGCAGAAGCUGAGACAGUGGAAAUAAAGCAAAUAACAAAGGAUUUUAUUGAUAGUUAAAAAUUGUGGUGAUAAUAUAUAAGCAAUUUUUGAGAUAAUAUUUUGUUUAAAGUGUAAGGAUUGAAUAUUUUUGAAUUUUUCAAAGAAAAAAAAUUAAGACUUAGCCUUGUGAAUGAAAAUGACAAUAAUCUUGAUAUGCUCAGUUGUAAAGGAAUUUUGAAUGCUACAUUAUGACCUUGGACAAGAAGAUAAAUACCAAUAUCAUAAAAAUUCAGGAUAUGUCUCAAACUGGUGUAAAAAGAAUGGGAGAGGAGGAGACAAGGAUAUCAACGAUGCCGCAUAACUCAAAGCAGAUCAGUUAUGCUUGGAAUAAAAAUGAAAACAACUGGCUGAACAGAAAACAUUUACAGUGAAAUAAAAUGAAAUAAUUUGCCAUGGAUUAAAACAAUACAAUAGCAGUGCAAUAAAAAUAUAUCUCGUG
Long non-coding RNA from Ruditapes philippinarum (Manila clam), 485 nucleotides. RefSeq lists it as uncharacterized. NCBI's taxonomy places the organism in Eukaryota, Metazoa, Mollusca, Bivalvia, Venerida, Veneridae. The record is from RefSeq and is a predicted model, not a curated record. The transcript is spliced from 2 exons.